ACCAAAGUGGGGGACCUUCGGGCCUCACGCCUUCGGAUGAGCCCAGAUGAGAUUAGCUGGUAGGUAAGGUAAAGGCUUACCUAGGCGACGAUCUCUAGCGGGUCUGAGAGGAUAGCCCGCCACACUGGAACUGAGACACGGUCCAGACUCCUACGGGAGGCAGCAGUGGGGAAUAUUGCACAAUGGGCGAAAGCCUGAUGCAGCCAUGCCACGUGUGUGAAGAAGGCCUUCGGGUUGUAAAGCACUUUCAGCGAGGAGGAAGCGAUAAAUGCGAAUACCAUUUAUUUUUGACGUUACUCGCAGAAGAAGCACCGGCUAACUCCGUGCCAGCAGCCGCGGUAAUACGGAGGGUGCGAGCGUUAAUCGGAAUAACUGGGCGUAAAGGGCAUGUAGGCGGUGAGUUAAGUCAGAUGUGAAAUCCCCGAGCUCAACUUGGGAAUGGCAUUUGAAACUGGGUCGCUAGAGUUUUCUAGAGGGGGGUAGAAUUCCAGGUGUAGCGGUGAAAUGCGUAGAUAUCUGGAGGAAUACCGGUGGCGAAGGCGGCCCC
This 547-nucleotide ribosomal RNA is filed under the name Candidatus Williamhamiltonella defendens. RNAcentral describes it as "bacterial SSU rRNA". It matches the Rfam family "Bacterial small subunit ribosomal RNA", at positions 200 to 728 of the family's 1533-position model. Lineage: Bacteria; Pseudomonadati; Pseudomonadota; Gammaproteobacteria; Enterobacterales; Enterobacteriaceae. The record is from RNAcentral.